AUGGCCAUAUCACGUUGAAACACCAGUCCUCAUCCGAUCACUGAAAUUAAGCAACGUCAAGUCUGGUCAGUACCUAGAUGGGUGACCGCUUGGGAAUAG
Molecule: non-coding RNA, 99 nt
Organism: Acanthosepion pharaonis
Lineage: Eukaryota; Metazoa; Mollusca; Cephalopoda; Sepiida; Sepiidae
Source: the annotation of a GenBank genome assembly